ACUAAGCCCAGUUAAGCAGACAAGUCCUGGGAAACCAAGAAAAAAAACGGCAGUUUUAAAUCAAAACUGCUGAGAAUGUUUCCUCAGCCAAACCUUAUAGAUAGUAAGCCUUGAUCAUCUGAACAAGCAACUUUAAGGUCUUCCAACUGUUAACUAGUUUAAUAAAUAAGACCUUACUAAUCUCUUGCAAGAAAAUAACUGGACAUGAAGAAACUUCCAGGGCGCUGCGUCUGGACAUCUGUUCCCACCCGCCCUUGGACCACCUCGAGAACCAGCGCUUCAUCCAGGAUACUGGGCACCUCCUGUGCCAGGCUCGGGGCCGUGAAGAUGUUUGGUUUUCCCUGAGAUGUUUUCUCCUGAGGCUUUAGAGAGAGCCUUUGCACUCACAGGAACAAAGCAACCGCAUUAGGAGAAAAGGUGCCUGUUAACCUCCUGCCCCGAGACCAGCGUGGGCUGUGGUGCAGCAGGACUGGGGUUCUCAUCACUUUUCCCGUUUUGUGCCUAAAUCACCCCCUCUUCCUCUAUUUCCUUUUCUUCCCUGAUGUGUAGAAUGACUAAGACAUUUGAAACAUAAAUGUGAACUUGAAAUAAUAAAAUAGUUUGAGUUAAAACAAGAAUUAAAUCUUAAAUAUGUAACCCAAAGCUACGGAUGUCCUUGCUAAUCCAACAUGGGGUUCGCUUCUCCUGUUAGAUCAGACAACUGCCGGUUACAGAAUAUAAAUCUCAUUUCCUGCUUCCAGGGUGAUGGUAACUUUGUGACAGCUUGUCUCAGACUGUUUACAUGUUGAAGUAUAACACUGUUUUACCAAUCCCUGUUU
Bos taurus (domestic cattle) is the source of this 818-nucleotide long non-coding RNA. Lineage: Eukaryota; Metazoa; Chordata; Mammalia; Artiodactyla; Bovidae. The record is from Ensembl.